UUCGAACGUGGGUGAUGAAUUCUGUGUUCUGAUCAGUUACUCAGGAGGCGCCCGAAUGUGAGGGGGUGGGAGUGUGGGAGGGGGCUGCCUCCUCUCUUCUCUUUCCCUCUGGCUGCUCUCCUCCCCUCUCCCCCCUCCUUCUCUCUCCCCCCUCCCUUCUUCCCUCCCCUCCCUUUUUCAGCAUCUCCCCUACCCUUUCUUUCUCUUCUCUCCCUCUCUCCCCUCCCUCUCUCCCCCUCCCGCUCUCUUCUCCCUCUCCCUACAAGUCUGGCACUGAAGGAGAACUGUUUUGCUUUGCUCCGGGAAGAGUGCAGACACGACGUGAAAUCCGGAGCUCUUUGCGUGAAAUCUGUGUAAAGCGUGGAGGGGAAAACAUUUGCAUAAAAAGUGAAGGAGCACGCCAAGGAGCACCAAAGACCAAGAGGAGACCAGAUGAGUUUUCAGAGCAGUUCUCAGACACCCAGGACGCAUGUCAUCCUUUGCCUCGUGCUUUCUGCAAUGUUGCUGCUCACCUUCAUCUUUCUAUUAACCCUCGCCAUAACGAUCCCCCCUGACACCACCACCUCUUCUCCAUUAAUCACCCACUCAGCUCUCUCUGAGACUCAGUUAACACUCAGUCCCUUGGUCAGGAAAACCGGAGAAAAAGUUCCCUUUUCUAAAAAGGAAGUCAGAGCGUGCUCUGCUGGAGCCACCAUGCUCAGGGAAGAGACCCAAAAUACAGCUGAGUGUGAUGUCAUUGAAACCAGAUGGAAAGACCAGAAAUCCCUUAAUCCCAGUCAGACCUAGUGAAGCUUUACUUGUGACUGUUGGGACUGAUUAAGAAUAUGGGGGCAGGGAGGAAGAGAGGGAGAAAGAUGUUCUGAAUUGGAUUGCCCUUCAAUACAGAAUGGAAUCCCCUAGAUUUUUUUGUCCUCCAAUUAAAUGUGCAUUUCAUUCUACCACAUUGUGAUGGCUUCACUGUAGAUGUUUCCUCUGGAGACCCAAGGCUUUUUUUCUUCAUGGGUCACAAGACCACAAGCCACCAGAUGAUGAGGUAAGUGACAGUGUCUCAGAAAUGACCUCAGAAAUCCAGUGCUGAUGAAAACCCACCUUAGGAGACAGCAAGGUUUGUCCCCUGUUCAGUCCCUCUUGACUUGAGCCCUUGCAGGGAACCCCAGAACAGCGAGGAAUUUUAGUGGGGCUCCACACCAUUCUGGGAAGCAAAGCUGAUGCUGAAGAUUGGUUACAUCAGAAGUUGGGAAUGUCAUUGAAUCAAUCUCUCUCUCUCUCUCUCUCUCUCUCUCUCUCUCUCUCUCUUUAAAAAAAAUCAGACAGGCCUUACUGGCACAUUCCUAUAAGCCCAACUACAUGGGAAACUGAGGCACAAAGAUUGUCAUUUCAAGACCUACCUGGGCAACAGAAUGAGUUUAGGGCCAGCCCAGGUGACUUAGUA
RNAcentral lists this long non-coding RNA (1432 nucleotides) under Mus spicilegus (steppe mouse). RNAcentral's name for it is "lncRNA (ENSMSIG00000017917.1)". The record is from RNAcentral. Lineage: Eukaryota; Metazoa; Chordata; Mammalia; Rodentia; Muridae.